AUAUCAAUAAGCGGAGGAAAAGAAACUAACAAGGAUUCCCCUAGUAACUGCGAGUGAAGCGGGAAAAGCUCAAAUUUAAAAUCUGGCGGCUCCGUCGUCCGAGUUGUAGUCUGGAGAAGUGCUUUCCGCGCUGGACCGUGUACAAGUCUCUUGGAACAGAGCGUCAUAGAGGGUGAGAAUCCCGUCUUUGACACGGACUACCAGUGCUUUGUGAUGCGCUCUCAAAGAGUCGAGUUGUUUGGGAAUGCAGCUCAAAAUGGGUGGUGAAUUCCAUCUAAAGCUAAAUAUUGGCGAGAGACCGAUAGCGAACAAGUACCGUGAGGGAAAGAUGAAAAGCACUUUGGAAAGAGAGUUAAACAGUACGUGAAAUUGCUGAAAGGGAAACGCUUGAAGUCAGUCGCGUUGUCCGGAACUCAACCUUGCCUUGGCUUGGUGCAUUUUCUGGAUAACGGGCCAGCAUCGAUUUUGAUCGUCGGAAAAGGGCUGGAGUAAUGUGGCACCUCCGGGUGUGUUAUAGACUCUGGUCUUACGGCGGUUGGGAUCGAGGAACGCAGCGCGCCGCAAGGCAGGGGUUUACCCACUAUCGCGCUUAGGAUGCUGGCAUAAUGGCUUUAAACGACCCGUCUUGAAACACGGACCAAGGAGUCUAACAUGCCUGCGAGUGUUUGGGUGGAAAACCCGAGCGCGUAAUGAAAGUGAAAGUUGAGACCUCUGUCGUGGAGGGCAUCGACGCCCGGACCUGACGUUCUCUGACGGCUCCGCGGUAGAGCAUGUAUGUUGGGACCCGAAAGAUGGUGAACUAUGCCUGAAUAGGGUGAAGCCAGAGGAAACUCUGGUGGAGGCUCGUAGCGAUUCUGACGUGCAAAUCGAUCGUCAAAUUUGGGUAUAGGGGCGAAAGACUAAUCGAACCAUCUAGUAGCUGGUUCCUG
Molecule: ribosomal RNA, 929 nt
Filed under: Coriolopsis retropicta
Lineage: Eukaryota; Fungi; Basidiomycota; Agaricomycetes; Polyporales; Polyporaceae
Description: partial large subunit ribosomal RNA
Rfam family: Eukaryotic large subunit ribosomal RNA
Source: RNAcentral